ACUCAAAGGAAUAGACGGGGGCCCGCACAAGCGGUGGAGCAUGUGGUUUAAUUCGAUGCAACGCGAAGAACCUUACCAAGAUUUGACAUGCCAGCGGCAGGUUUAGAGAUAGACCUUCCCUUCGGGGCGCUGGACACAGGUGGUGCAUGGUUGUCGUCAGCUCGUGUCGUGAGAUGUUGGGUUAAGUCCCGCAACGAGCGCAACCCUUAUCCUUAGUAGCAACCGGCGUAAGCCGGGCACUUUAGGGAGACUGCCGUGGAUAACACGGAGGAAGGCGGGGAUGAGGUCAAAUCAUCAUGCCCUUUAUGUCUUGGGCUACACACGUGCUACAAUGGCUGCAACAAAGUGACGCAAGCCUGCGAAGGCAAGCCAACCACAAAAAAGCAGUCUCAGUUCGGAUUGCAGUCUGCAACUCGACUGCAUGAAGCUGGAAUCGCUAGUAAUCGCGGAUCAGCAUGCCGCGGUGAAUACGUUCCCGGGCCUUGCACACACCGCCCGU
RNAcentral lists this ribosomal RNA (499 nucleotides) under uncultured bacterium. Its description in RNAcentral is "bacterial SSU rRNA". It matches the Rfam family "Bacterial small subunit ribosomal RNA", at positions 899 to 1397 of the family's 1533-position model. The record is from RNAcentral.